This 292-nucleotide ribosomal RNA is filed under the name uncultured bacterium. Its description in RNAcentral is "partial 16S ribosomal RNA". It matches the Rfam family "Bacterial small subunit ribosomal RNA", at positions 505 to 796 of the family's 1533-position model. The record is from RNAcentral.
GUGCCAGCAGCCGCGGUAAUACGUAUGGUGCAAGCGUUAUCCGGAUUUACUGGGUGUAAAGGGAGCACAGGCGGUACGGCAAGUCUGAUGUGAAAUCCCGGGGCUCAACCCCGGUACUGCAUUGGAAACUGUCGGACUAGAGUGUCGGAGGGGUAAGUGGAAUUCCUAGUGUAGCGGUGAAAUGCGUAGAUAUUAGGAGGAACACCAGUGGCGAAGGCGGCUUACUGGACGAUUACUGACGCUGAGGCUCGAAAGCGAGGGGAGCAAACAGGAUUAGAAACCCGGGUAGUCC